AAUAAAGAGGCUUUCUGCAAAAUUAAAUUCUUCACGUGCACACUGCCCUUGACCAUCUCCAUGUGGCAGUUCCCGAUCCGCGCUGCACCCCACGGAGAAGCUGUGGUGUCCACAGGGAUGCUCCACCUGCAGUGAUGCAGGCACCCCACAUGGCUGUAAGGAGAUGGAUCCCCCUCCCAACUCCCCCCUCGGCACCCGAGGCGCAGGCAGGACUCCGUGCACGCGCAGCAUCAGAUGUGGAAACCUUCGUGCACCAGCCUGGUGCCCAUCAGACGAAGCUGUGCUUUUGGAUCAUCUCCAUCCCUUCUGCCCAGCCAGUCCCAUAGCCUGCCAGGCUGCUCCCAGCUGCAGACAUGCCUUCACGAUGCAGCCCAACACGGCUCUUCUGCUCCACAUUUGGGAGCUUCUCCUCCAGCUGCAGCAGGAGCCAGGCUGAGGUUUGCUGCAGGGGAAGAUCUACCUGUGCCAGAGCACAGCUCAGUCCUGGGCUCCGGGAGGAUAAACCCUCCUUUCCACUGGGACCCCUGAGGGGAGGCAGGACAGUCCUUGUGCCCAGGGGGAGCAGAAGGAGGGAAUUUAAAGUGCAAGUGCCUGAGCACCAUCUUUCCACGUGCUCUGCGCUCCAGAUGACCCACCAGCCCCAAAGUCUCCUGCUAGGACCUCUGCUCUUAAGGCAAAGCCUCCUGACAACUGGCCUGUAAACCAACCAGGGUCAGAGCAGAGCCAUCACCCCUCAGUGGGGCUGGGGAGGUAGCUGACACAGGGGAAAGCUUCCAGCACCCAAAACACAUCUGCUCCCACUUCCCCCUUCUUUCUGAAGAGCAGAGGGGAUGCCAAACCCUGAGGAACUCCAUGCUUCCCCGACUGCAUCCCCACCAGGAGCAAGCUACAGGCCAGAUCCAGCCAUCCGAUGACUGUGCUCACCAGGAGCAUUCCACUCUGCUUCCCAGCAACCACCAGCAGCUCCCCAUAUUGCACCAGCACCCACAUCAGGCACUGAUAUACCCUCCCACCAGGUGCAAGAGUCUCACCCACCCCUCACCCUCCCAGCUUGGAGGCAGCCCUGUGUUUAGGCACAAAGCCAGCAUUCUGGGUAAUUACAGAUGCUUAAUUAAUGACAGCAGGGCACUUUCUUAACAAAGCAAAUUAAUUACAGGCGACGUGCUGCAUUGAGAUCUGAAGGGACUAAUGAAGACCAGGACCACCUGGCCCUCCCCAGCCACAGGGACACAGCUCAGCCCUGCCCCAGAGUCCUCACGGUGCUUGGCAGAGAUAUGUUGUCCAGCUGGGAUUGGGAUGUCACCACUAACCUGCUGGGGAUAAGCCCUCUGCAGAGCAUGGAGAUAAAGCCUGCCCCUGUUUGGGGUCACGCUGUUACCUGGGGUUUGGUGACAGGCUUUGUGACACCCCCUGCUUGAGGGUGGCUCAUGGGGAGGAAGCCAACAUGCCGAGCAAAAUCAUUUUGCUCGGCACAUUGUCUUCUUCCUCAUGAGCCACCUUGAAACUAUAGGUAUCACGGAGCACCCAUGCUCAGCACCUGCAGGAUCUUCUGGGGUCAAAGGCUGGGACGUGGAGGAGAAACCAUCUUGGGAAGCACGGAGCUCACAGCCUCUCCUCCAGCAUGUUGUAGUACUCUGUGGGGAGAAAGGGAGAGCUGGAGGAUGUGCAAGGGCCACCCCUGGGAUCUGAUGGAUAAAGGGAGCUGGGAGGGCUCAGCCUUUGAUUGGGGGCUGCCUGGUUGACGCAUGCUUAAAAAAUGCAUCGAUGCGGUGCUUAGGGACGUGGUUUAGCGAUGGACUUGGCAACGCUGGGUUAAUGGCUGGACUUGAUGAUCUUAAAGGUCUUUUUCAACCUAAAAGAUUCUAUGCUUGAGGGCAAGACAUCCCUCGCUGAGGGACAUGGGGAGAACGUGUCCUUACCUGAUGCUGGUAGGACACUGGGUCCCACGGU
This is a long non-coding RNA of Falco peregrinus (peregrine falcon), 1950 nucleotides long. RefSeq lists it as uncharacterized. The record is from RefSeq and is a predicted model, not a curated record. Lineage: Eukaryota; Metazoa; Chordata; Aves; Falconiformes; Falconidae. The transcript is spliced from 3 exons.